GACGGACGCUGGCGGCGUGCUUAACACAUGCAAGUCGAGCGGUAAGGCCCUUUCGGGGGUACACGAGCGGCGAACGGGUGAGUAACACGUGGGUGACCUGCCCUCAGCUCUGGGAUAAGCCUGGGAAACCGGGUCUAAUACCGGAUAUGACUCCAUGACGCAUGUUGUGGGGUGGAAAGCCUUGUGCGGCUGAGGAUGGGCCCGCGGCCUAUCAGCUUGUUGGUGGGGUGAUGGCCUACCAAGGCGACGACGGGUAGCCGGCCUGAGAGGGCGACCGGCCACACUGGGACUGAGACACGGCCCAGACUCCUACGGGAGGCAGCAGUGGGGAAUCUUGCGCAAUGGGCGAAAGCCUGACGCAGCGACGCCGCGUGAGGGAUGACGGCCUGGU
This 391-nucleotide ribosomal RNA is filed under the name uncultured bacterium. RNAcentral's name for it is "bacterial SSU rRNA". It matches the Rfam family "Bacterial small subunit ribosomal RNA", at positions 28 to 420 of the family's 1533-position model. The record is from RNAcentral.